Molecule: non-coding RNA, 23 nt
Filed under: Mus musculus (house mouse)
Lineage: Eukaryota; Metazoa; Chordata; Mammalia; Rodentia; Muridae
Also listed under: 1 other name
Source: RNAcentral
UGGAGUACCCUCUGACUGGAGUA